CCUACGGGAGGCAGCAGUAGGGAAUUUUCGUCAAUGGGCGCAAGCCUGAACGAGCAAUGCCGCGUGAACGAGGAAGGUCUUCGGAUCGUAAAGUUCUGUUGAAGGGGAAAAAGAGCGGAUAGAGGAACUGAACUCCGAUUGAUAUUACCCUUCGAGGAAGUCACGGCUAACUACGUGCCAGCAGCCGCGGUAAUACGUAGGUGGCGAGCGUUAUACGGAAUGAUUGGGCGUAAGGGGUGCGUAGGCGGCCUGCUAAGUCUGGCGUGAAAGGUACCGGCUCAACCGGUAUAGGAUCUGGAAACGGGCGGGCGAGAGAGCAGGAGAGGGCGGGGGAACUCCAUGUGUAGCGGUAAAAUGCGUAGAUAGAUGGAAGAACACCAGUGGCGAAGGCGGCCGCCUGGCCUGUUACGGACGCUGAGGCACGAAAGCGUGGGGAGCAAAUAGGAUUAGAUACCCCAGUAGUC
This 464-nucleotide ribosomal RNA is filed under the name uncultured bacterium. RNAcentral's name for it is "partial 16S ribosomal RNA". It matches the Rfam family "Bacterial small subunit ribosomal RNA", at positions 338 to 795 of the family's 1533-position model. The record is from RNAcentral.